AGGAGUUCCGCAGCUGCGCGCAGAAGGGACCUGAGACCGGCCGCCCCGGAGAGGCAGUCAAAGCCUGGGGAGACUUUGUGAUGGGCCGAUGAAAAAUCAUCCAAGGUUUGAAAACUUUUGCCUGUGAAGUCAUCUUGACCUGAGAAGGAAAUUAAUUCUUACAACAAUCACAUGAACUUGGAAGGGCAUCCUUCCCUAGCUGAGCCUUCAUUUGAGACAUCAGCCUUGGCAAUCAUCUUGGUAUUUGUGACUCAGAAACCGUGAGUAAGAGCUUAUUAUAUUUAACACUGUGUUACUCUGGAAUGAAGAAACAAAGAGUACAAGACUGCCACUCUGCAUUUACAGCACCAAGAGAAGGGAUCACAGCUCCAAGUUUUCCAAAUGUUUCCUAACUUCCUUUGGAAUCUCAGUGGAAGCCUCCAUGACGCCUAACUUCAGCAUCUUGAAUUUCUGCAAAACCAUUACUAUGUGGUAGACAGC
Molecule: long non-coding RNA, 480 nt
Organism: Sciurus carolinensis (gray squirrel)
Lineage: Eukaryota; Metazoa; Chordata; Mammalia; Rodentia; Sciuridae
Exons: 4
Source: RefSeq, a predicted model, not a curated record